RNAcentral lists this small nuclear RNA (107 nucleotides) under Equus asinus (donkey). Lineage: Eukaryota; Metazoa; Chordata; Mammalia; Perissodactyla; Equidae. The record is from RNAcentral.
GUGCUAGCUUUGGCAGCACAUAUACUAAAAUUGGAACGACACAGAGAAGAUUAGCAUGGCCCCUCCGCAAGGAUGACAUGCAAAUUCGUGAAGCGUUUCAUAUUUUU